GUGCUCGCGUUGGCAGCACAUACACUAAAAUCGUAACCAUACAGAGAAGAUUAGCAAGGCCCCUGAUGCAGGAUGACAUACAGAUUUGUGAAGCAUUCCAUAUUUUU
Acomys russatus (golden spiny mouse) is the source of this 107-nucleotide small nuclear RNA. NCBI's taxonomy places the organism in Eukaryota, Metazoa, Chordata, Mammalia, Rodentia, Muridae. The record is from RefSeq and is a predicted model, not a curated record.